GCCCAGCGCCGGGCGGGGCGUCGGUUGCCAGGGCCGCGGGAGGCGAGGCGGCCGCCGCCAUGGAAGUUAACUCAUGAAUCAAAACUACUGUCCUCAGUUCUGUUUAUCUCAACAUUAACAGAAGUUCAGAUGUCACUGCUCAGGAAGAAAGUGGUUUUCCUGUGAGCUGUGUGGGAAACACGUCAAAAUUCAAUAUUUUAAUUGGGAACAACUACACUUUUUCAACAAAUGAAAAGUCAAGAUGACAGAUUCGCUUUCACUGCUGAAUGGUAUGACCCAAAUGCUUCACUCUUUCGGCGUUAUGAGCUUCUGUAUUAUCCAAAAGAUGGGUCAGUUGAAAUGUAUGAUGUGAAGAACCAUCGUACCUUUCUGAAGCGCACCAAGUAUGAGAGCUUACACCUUGAAGAUCUGUUUGUGGGCAACAAAAUCACUGUGUUUUCUCGUCAUCUUUCCUUAGUGGACUAUGGGGAUCAAUAUACAGCGCGCAAGCUAGGGAGCCGCAAAGAGAGAACAUUGGCUUUGAUUAAACCUGAUGCAACACCCAAGAUUGGAGAAUUAGUAGAUAUCAUUAUUAAUGCAGGAUUUACAAUAACUAAGGCCAAAAUGAUGGUGCUUUCAAGAAAAGAAGCAGUUGAUUUCUACGUAGACCAUCAGUCAAAACCUUUUUAUAAUGAGCUUCUCCAGUUUAUAACAAGUGGUCCUGUUGUUGCUAUGGAAAUCUUACGGGAUGAUGCAGUUUGUAAAUGGAAAACGUUACUGGGGCCUGCAAAUUCUGCAGUGGCUCGAACUGAUGAACCGGACAGCAUUAGAGCAAACUUUGGACAUGAUGGCAUAAGAAAUGCAGCUCAUGGCCCAGAUUCAGUUGCCUCAGCUGCUCGAGAGCUGGAGUUGUUCUUUCCCUCCAGUGGAGGUCAUGGACCAGCCAACAGUGCAAAAUUCACAAACUGUACUUGUUGCAUUAUUAAACCUCAUGCAGUUAAUGAAGGACUAGCUGGGAAGAUUAUAAAAGCCAUCAUCAAUGAAGGAUUUCAGAUCUCAGCUUUGCAGAUGUUCAACAUGGAGCGUGCAAAUGUGGAAGAAUUUUAUGAGAUUUACAAAGGUGUUGUUGCUGAAUAUAUGGAGAUGGUUACAGAGUUGUGCUCAGGCCCUUGCAUAGCAAUGGAGAUUAUACAGCCUGAACCACCAAAAGUGUUCAGAGACUUCUGUGGUCCUUCUGACCCUGAAAUAGCCCGUCAUCUCCGACCUGGAACUCUGCGUGCUGUCUUUGGGAAGAACAAGAUUCAGAAUGCUGUCCACUGCACAGAUCUACCAGAAGAUGGACUUCUGGAGGGCAUCAGACUGGAUUUCAUUAUCGCCUUCUCCAUUAACUACUGAAACUUUGCGGUAAUGUUUGGAAGCUUCCAGCGGGAGCAGCCGACCCCAUCAGAGUGAGCUGUGCACUGUGUGUGUGUGAUGGAAGCCAAUCUUCAGGGAACUGAAGCAGCUUUCAGCUCCUCCAGGGUGAAACAGUUUAUAAGGGAUGGAAGAGGAUUAAGCGCACCCGAAUAUCAGCAUUGUUUGUGAAGGCCAUGGGAUGGAUUCAGUUGGUUUCAGACCAAUCCUUGGUGUGUGCAGAGGUGAAUUUCCCUACCACCUCUGCAUCCCGUGAAGAAACCAGAGGUGUGUGUGCAUCAUAAGAGCUGACCUUGCCUUGGGUCAAAUGUGAGGUGUGCUGAGAGGCUUUAUACGUGUACAGCUGCUUUAUCUGUGGCUUAUGCUGUUUGGACCCUGGGAAUGAGUGUGGCUGCAUUUCCUGGAAUGUGGGGCAUUGUGGAAAGCCUGGCCCUGGCCAAAGGCUCAAUAUGGGCACCUCCCAGCCCUGGCUCCCCUUGGGAGAUGGCUUGGUGCUUCUAGAGCUGGGCUCUCAGAGCUGUGACUUGUGAAUGCGAGGGCAUCCCCCCGUCUCUUGGGCUUGGUUCUGGUCUCUGCAAAGCGCCAUGUGCUUUGUCAUGUGAGCAGGACAUCUGGCAGCUGUUACCCUGCUGUCUGGUGCUUCUCCCAAGGGUGAGGUUCUUGGGGUGAAGAGCCUUCCGUGUACCACAGCCAUCUCAGCUGCUAAUAGGUUUUAAUGGGCGCUGGGAGGCGGCUGACCCACAUCAUAAUUAUAUACGAGGAGAACAUAGUGGCCCUCAUUUUCACGUUAUACAAUGCAUAACUGCUGUGCUUGUUCUGAUGUCUCCUGUAGGUCAUAAGUAAGCUGAGGCUUUCAGCCAGGCCUGGGUGGAUUGCCUGCCAAAAGUCAGGGGCAGUGAAGGACCCGAGGGGUCAGAGCAAACACCUUAGGUGCCAACAGAUAGCGAGCGGGAGGCACUGGCUCAGCAUCCUGCAGCAGCCUGGAGGGAAUGGACUGUCCAAAGGAAUAGUGGGAGCUGGUAGAGCUUCCUUGCAUGAAGUUCACCUGCCUCUCACAGCCAUGGGGCCUGUGCUGCCAGCAGCUUUGUGAGCACCUCUGUGGGGCUCAGCCCACCUCCUGCAGUGCAGGGCUUUGGCUGUGGCAGCUCAGGUGCUUGGGGCCAAGUGGGCAGCACCAGUGCAAAAGUUCUCAGGUUUGGCAGUGUUAACACUGAUUGUUGUUGUGUAUUUGUGCAAAGUGGUAGUGCUGGCACAGCCUUAAAGAUGCUUGUCGUUAAAUGUGUCACUCUGCUAUUUAUUUUUUUAGUAUUUUUAUGCAUCUCUCUCUGUAACCCAGAAACACAGGUGCCCCGUAUCAACACAGUUGGGUGAUAAAGUUCACGUUAAUGGUUAUAGUUGUACUUAAUGGUGUUGAGCCAACCUGGCAGAAGGAACAAAGUGUUCAGGUGGGUGGGUGGUUUAUAGGGUGAUGCACUGCUGGGCGGUAAGGCAGAGACAGCCUCAAGAGAACAGUUUUUACAUAGGCAACACAACA
RNA transcript from Gallus gallus (chicken), 2926 nucleotides. It is a transcript of the gene named NME/NM23 family member 7, with no coding region annotated. The transcript has 14 exons. The record is from RefSeq and is a predicted model, not a curated record. Lineage: Eukaryota; Metazoa; Chordata; Aves; Galliformes; Phasianidae.